This is a long non-coding RNA of Vigna unguiculata (cowpea), 5018 nucleotides long. The record is from RefSeq and is a predicted model, not a curated record. Lineage: Eukaryota; Viridiplantae; Streptophyta; Magnoliopsida; Fabales; Fabaceae.
UUGAAGAUAAUAAAUUGUCUCUCUGGCACAUGCUGUUUGGCAGGAAACCCUUCUGGCUCAAAAGUUACUAAUACUAACUGGAAUUUCUCCUGAAUAAAGUCAGUAACGUAAGCACAUGUAACAAGAGCACAUACAAACUUUUCAGAAACCUUGGAGUAAAAGGCUUCAUACUAAUAUUGGACCUGAUUGUUGUAAGGCCCCAUUUUAUUCCUGCCCUAAAGUUAGUGGGCUGCCCCUAAGUGGGCCUAAGGGUUGGCCCAGUGUAUAUAAACCCUGCUACGUUGCCCUAAUGGGAGGUCUGUGUUUUCCCUUUCUGAACCAGCCGUCGCUCCGCCCCUUCGUACCGCUAGAGCUCUGCUAGGGUUGCCCUGAGGUCCUCCUCGAGCUAGCUCAAAGCUCAAGUCCUACUUCCUGCACGACUUCCUGAUCCGUCUCCCGAACUGCUGUGCUUCGGGGCCCAAUGUCGAGGUCUGUGCGAACCCUUUUCCAGAUGGGCGAGGUCCUCGUGGUCAGCAAGGGAGUGGUGAUCCAGCAGCUUAGCCAUCCGGGCUAGAAUUCGAACGUCUUUCUUUCAUGUUUCUUUAGGGCUAUGGCCCCUGUAUUUGUUGUUACCGGAUUUGUAAACUCUUAGUCAAACUGCUUAUCCUGCUUUUGUUGGCAUCGUGGUGUGCCUGAUUUUGUAGGGGUGACGUUAUGAACCCCAGGACUGCAUUGUCGAUUUAUCUAUGUGUGACGUGUCCUUUAAUUUUACGUAUUAAAUUAAAUGGGACGUUACAAUUGUUGUUCUUAAAAAUUAGCUUUUCAGUGUUGAGCAAUCUCCUGUUAUUGUUUAGCAUCACAUUCGACUUGUUUCCCUUUCUUAAUUGGCACCAUGCACCAUCACCAAAGGCAAUUUUCAACGAUUGAUACCAUUUUCCCGCUAUAUAUCUCCCUCUCAUUCCCCUUCUUCACCCCUGAAUCUCACUCCCUCUCCACGGUUGGGUCACUAACAAUUGCUAAAAGGAAAAUAGUUUUCGGAAGGACCCUUGCAUCUCUAACUUGAAUGAAAAGAUACAGCAACAUGACCCAUUCCGCAAUUGUGCAAGUAGCAGUAACCAUAACAGAAUCAAGUCAUGGUGUCACUGCCAUGAUGUUUUUGACACUUUGUUCCAAUUAACUUUAUGCGUUAUGGUGUGGAAAUUACCGAACAACAACAACAAAGUUGUUACUUUAUUCAGGAUGUGGGAUUUGUGUAGCUCCGACACGGCUCAAAAGAGGCGUCUCCGCAUUGGAAGCGCAUCGCAAAUACGGAUGUGCGACGAAGGUGUGCACGACACCACGUCGGACACAUUUUUUUGGCCAAGACACAGCUGUGCUCUUGGACACGCCGAAGAUGAUGCGACCCUGCUCCUUGACACGCUGGGACAUGCCAGAGAAGACAAACUAGGACACACGAAUCAAAUUUGAUUAAAAAAAUAACAAAAUCAAAAACCUUGAAUAUAUUUUAAUUAAAAGAAAAUAAAUAAAACAAGGAAACAAAAUCUUUGUGAAUCCUCGUAUAGGUCUACGACUCUGUUUUAUAAGAAAUUACUCUAUAAAUUUACAUAAGCAUCUUCAGAAGAAUCACACCCUACGAAGCACAGACAUCCUAUAUGACUCUGUUAUAAGAAAUUACUCUACAAAUUUACAUAAGCAUCUUCAGAAGAAUCACACCUGAAGCACAGACACUGAAACGAUAAGGACACGGGAUACAACCAAAUUGCAAAAAUAUAGUAUAUGGACACGGCGAUAUAUAUACUAAUCAUACUUCAUAAUUUAAAAAUAAUAAAGAGAAACCUUUAUAAAAGAAGUCCUACAAAAGAAAAUCUUAUGUGAAUCAUAAUGUUUGACUUUCAUAUUUCUUCAUCUUCGUUGAAAAAUACAACUUCUAAUUCUGGUCCAUUAUGAGAUAAGCUUGCAAGAAUUCCAUUGUCAUCCAAUGAAAAAUCAUCUACUGCAAUAUCCCACAUUUUAGUUUCCUCUUUGUAUUUUGAGGAUGUUUCUUGAGAGAAGACCAAGAUUACUCCAGAAAAAUACUAAAUCAUCCCACCAUGUUAGGUGUCAACUUAUUUCUUUUCAAAGAAUAUACUCAAAUUCUUUUCACAACAAGAUGAAGAACAUGGUUGUCCAAGUAGUUUAAGAGCUAUCUUUUGGAGUGUUAGUACAUGAGAUCCAUGAACAAUCUCCACCAUGAUUUUUGCAUCUAUUUUACGUCUAUCUCGUUAAGAGUCAACAUCUACAAAAUCUUUCCUUCCAUUUGAAAAGUUUGCAUACUCUAUAUUUACUUGUCUCUUAAUAUCCACAUCAUCAAAGUACCUCUUAACAUUCAUGACUAUAAUAUCUACAAUAUUAAAAAUACAUAAACUAACAAGAUAUUAUAAAUAAAAUGUGUACAAUAAAAUAUAAUCAUAAAAUAAUUUAACAAUAUCAUUACCUUAUAUUUAAAGAAUGAGCAAGACAAUGAAGAGAUGUGCUACACUUAGACCAACAAUCAAUUAAUAUUAAGUUUAUUGCCCAGAAAAGGGAUGAAUGUUCAAUUUUUGUCUUUCUUUCAUGUUGGUAUAUGAUUUUUCUCACAUUUUGAAUCAUUGAACCCUACAUUUCAUAUACUAAGUGAAGAGUAGCCAUAUCGAUAUAUUUUUUCUUGAGAACAUCAUAAAUAGGGGCAGUAAAAGCAAAUAUAUAAUCAACCUUCAUCCACUAAUUAUUAGUCAAUAAAGUUUCUCUCACAAAUUGUGCACAUACCGCAUUAUCCUCUUUGUAUGAAGACCAUUCAUCACUAAUAACCAUAUCUUGGAGUCUUUUUUCUUUUUUUUCAAACUUCUAAACCUUUUCAACAUGACAAUGGUUGAAGCAAAUUUUGUUAGAGCAACAUAAAGCAACUUCAAUGAGUUGAAGUUAUUGACCAUUAUAAUCUCAUAGAGUGUCUCACAAUAAAGUUUUUAAUAAAUGUAGCAUCAUCAUCAAUUUGUGUGAUCCAAGAACAUUCUUCAUAAGUAUCACUAUUUUUUGCUUCACAAAUAUUUUUCAAUACAAGAUUCAAGGUAUGCACUACAGAAGGAGUCCAUUAGAUGGAAGGAAAUUUUAGUUCUAUGGUCAUACAUGUUGCCUUACAACUGCAUUAUCAAUUAUAAUUUAAACCACAUUUUUCAGUCUAACCUCCACAAUUAAAUCUCUCAUGUGUUUAGUAAUGAAAUCUUUGUCUUUUAUCCCAACAUAUCCAUCUAUUGACCUCUAAAACAUUAGUCCACUCUACAUGAUAACCAUAAAAUUUAUAAGAGGUCUUCUUUGAAGAUCACUUCACUCAUUACAAUUAUUGUCAUGUCUUUUUGAUUCCAUGAGUUUCAUAUAUUUUGCAAAAGAUUAUCAACGUCACUUCUUUCUUUUAAAAGUAAAUGGCCUCUCAAUUUAUUAUAUCUUGGUGGUACAUAUCCACUAAGAUUAGAAGUAUUGCCAGGGUAAGAGAAUGCACUUCAAUAAUAAGGACUUCUUGCCAAAUGAAAUGGUAGUCCUGAAUAAUAAAACAUCAUCACAGUCUCACAAUCAAAAAUAUCUCUAGCUUUUUUGAAAGAAACUUCUAAAGGACCUUUGAGUUUUGGGUUAACAACAUAUACAUGUGGUGAAGGGACCUUUUAUUUCCUUUGUGUUGAAAGUCUCACAUUGACUAGAGAUAAGACAAUUUCAUAGUAUAUAAGUGGGAUGUAAACCUCACCUUACAAACCGGUUUUUUGGGGUUGAGUUAGAUUUAAACUCCGCUUCUAACAUGGUAUCAGAGCUCGGUUAAAAAGUCUCACCCAUUAAUGUCUAGUCUUACGCACGAGAUGUAUAUACCUAGGGCAUGAUAUAUAAGUGGGAUGCACACCUCACCUUACAAGCCGGUUUUGUGAGGUGGAAUUAGGCUUAAAGUUCACUACUAACACUUUAAAUUUUUUAUUUUCAAUGUUGCUUUAUUGUCUAAUAUUUUAAACUCAACGAAUUCUAACUCUUCCUGUAAUUUUUAACAAAUGAGCUUUCACUCGAUUGUAAGAUCCAUUAAAAGAAAAAUCACAUAAAUUGCACUUGAUCAUAUUAUUUCCAUUAAUGAAAUAAUAUGAUCAAAUCCAGUCGGGUGUGAUUUUUCAUUUAAUAGAUCUUACACUUGAGUGAGAGCUCAUAUGUUAAAAAUUACAAAAGAGGAUUUAUAAUUUAUUCAAACAUGGCCCCUUCAAAACUUGUUGAGCUUAAAAGAUUAGACAAUGAAGCAACAUUGAAAAUAGAAAAUGCAAAGGAAAAAAAUGUCCCUCUACCACUUGUAUCUGAAGAAGGAAAACACACAAACAGUGGUGUUAACCCAAAACUCAAAGAUCCUUUAGAAUCUUCUUUCAAUAUUCAAGCUAGAGAUACUCUAGAUUGUGAAACUACAAGGAUAGUUUAUUCUUCAAGACUACCAUUUCAUCUAGCAAGUCCUUAUUAUAAGAGUGUAUUUUCUUACGCUACCAAUACUUCUAAUCAUAGUCGAUAUGUACCACCAACAUAUAAUAAAUUUAAAGGUCAUUUACUUUCAAAAGAAAGAAGUCAUGUACAAAAUCUUUUGUAACCUAUAUGAAACUCAUGGAAUCAGAAAGACAUGACAAAUAUUAGUGAUGGGUGGAGUCAUCCUCAAAGAAGGCAACUUAUAAAUUUUAUGGCCAUCACGGAGUAGACCAAUGUUUUUUAGGUCAAUAUAUGGAUCUAGUAGGAUAAAGGAUAAAGACUUUAUUGCUAAACACAUGAGAGAUGAAAUUAUGAAAGUUGGACCGAAAUAUGUGUUACAAAUUAUAAUUGAUAUUGCAGUUGUAUGUAAGGUUGCAGGUAUGAUCAUAGGAUUAAAAUUUCCUUCAAUCCACUAAAUUCCUUAUGUAUUGAAUACCUUGACUCUUGCAUUGAAAAAUAUUUGUGUAGCAAAAAGUACUGAAAAAAAUAGUGAUACUUAGUAAGAAUGUUCUUGGAUCGCAAAAAUUAUUGAUGAUGCUACAUUUAUU